AGUCCCUAAUGACUUCACUUGUCCAACCCUAUUCAUUUGUGAUGCUGACACAGUGUCACGUGACCAGAGGUUAGGCCACCUCAUAUUUACCAGAGACCAGCUGUCAGGAGGGCACGAGUUCCCAGUAGAGAAGUGGUAUGAUCUACAGUCGGUUACUCCUGAUUCUGAAGUAUAGGUACACGUUUAAAUGGAUCAGUCAUUCAUUAAGUACAUGUACUCAUCAAUGACUAAUUUAUUAUUUUUUGUUGAGAAGCUCAUAAGUGCCAUUACAAGUUCUGCCCGUUCCUGUCCUUCAGUUAUGAAGAGAAUAUUUCAUUUAUUACGUACACUAUCAGUCAAACAAUUCCCUGUCCUAGAAAAUUCUGUCUGAUAUGUAUAAAUCACUGGAUUUAUCUUUUGAUAUUUUUUCUUUAGCCAUUUUAAACCUGAAAUUGAAGAAUCAGAAUUAGACUGUCUCGAGGAUUUUACUUGUUAAAUCU
Amphimedon queenslandica is the source of this 479-nucleotide long non-coding RNA. RefSeq lists it as uncharacterized. The record is from RefSeq and is a predicted model, not a curated record. NCBI's taxonomy places the organism in Eukaryota, Metazoa, Porifera, Demospongiae, Haplosclerida, Niphatidae. The transcript is spliced from 4 exons.